GGGAAGCACAAAGGAGAAUUUGCCUCUAUGCUUCCUGGUUCCUGGCAGCGGUCCUCCUCAUGGAGUCAUGGAGGAGCUGUUCCAGGAUCGUUGGCAGGGCAGAGGCAGGCCUUGGCUUCUGCAGGGUGAGCAGAACUGAAGAAGGCGGAAGAUACAGAUGGUAUUUUAUUCCUGGCUUUGUCUGGCAUGCUGAAUGAUCGGUGUGCUGACAGUGAUAUGUGGCAGGACAUCUGGGGCAAGGUCAAGCUAAUUUACUCCCAUGUGAGUGAGUCCAGUGUGCUUGUCGUGAAUGACAGCUGGGCCCUGAUGGAUGUCAAGUGGUUGCAAGAGCUCCAAGGCAGGAACCUUCUUCUAGGCAAAAGCAACCUAAGACGUUGUCCACAGAUGCCUACAGGAGAAAAUCCAAAUUCCUUAACAUGGGUACAUACCUCCUUCACAAGUUUGCACUGUAUCCUGCUUCAGCAUCAUUUUUUUUGCCAAACCCGACUUGCACUCCCAUUCUCCAGCCACACCAAGCUAUUUGCCAAAUGGGCCCAGUGUUUAUAAACCUCAGCCUGGAAUGUCCUUCCAUGCCCUGGUUAACGCUUACUCAUGUUACACGACCCAACUGAAGCUCUUCUUGGCCCUCCACACCUUUUUGUGGAGUGCUGUGUCUCCUGCUUUGUGGCCCUCUGUACCUGUAAAUACUUCCAUAGUUGUACCAAUAACGUCUCUUUUUCUCUGGCUGUUUACAUAUCUGACAGUCCUUCUGUCUAUAAGUUCUUUUGAGGCAAGGCCGGUUUUUUUCCAGCUUUGUAUGUCCACUGCAGAUGCUCAAUUAAUGUUUUCUUAAAAUUAAUAAAUUAAAAAGUUGAAUGACUGGUUAAUUAGUUGUUCCCAAUUCUCAACUUUCUCAUAUUAAUGGAAGCUUUUUAGGGCUUUAUUUUUGUUUGUUUGUAAGU
This 941-nucleotide long non-coding RNA is filed under the name Equus caballus (horse). Its description in RNAcentral is "lncRNA (ENSECAG00000044246.1)". Lineage: Eukaryota; Metazoa; Chordata; Mammalia; Perissodactyla; Equidae. The record is from RNAcentral.